This 465-nucleotide ribosomal RNA is filed under the name uncultured bacterium. RNAcentral's name for it is "partial 16S ribosomal RNA". It matches the Rfam family "Bacterial small subunit ribosomal RNA", at positions 28 to 507 of the family's 1533-position model. The record is from RNAcentral.
GACGAACGCUGGCGGCGUGCUUAACACAUGCGAGUCGAACGGAAAGGCCCUGCUUGCGGGGUACUCUCGUGUCGCAAGGGUGAGUAACACGUGGGUGUACUGCCCUGCACUUCGGGAUAAGCCUGGAGAACUCGGUCUAAUACCGGGUAGAGGCGCUUCUUAGUCUGAGGGUUGGAAAGAUUUUUUGGUGUAGGGGUGGCUCGCGGCCUAUCAACCUGUUGGUGGGGUAAUGGGCUACCAACGCGGCGUCGGGUAGCCAGCCGGGGGGGGUGGACGGGCACAUUGGGACUGGGAUACGGGCCAGAACUCCACGGGAGGCAGCAGGGGGGAAUAAUGCAAAAUGGGGGGGAGCCUGAUGCCGCGACGCCGCGGGGGGGAUGACCGCCUUCGGGUUGGAAACCCCUUUCCCUAUGGACGAAGCUGUUUGUGACGGUACCUAGAUAAGAAGCACCGGCUAACUACGUG